AAGAAGUUUUAUUCUUGCUUUUUCAUUCAGUUUUUGUUUGUUCUAUAUGUAAGUUUGUGCGUGAUUUGGUUUGGUUACUCUAAAUGGGUUAUGGAUGGGUUAUGUUAUUUAUUUUCAUUAGUUAUUGUUAGUUUGAUCAAGUGUGCUUGUGUCUAGCAAUUCUUUUUAGUUUCGGUUAAAUUUUGUGCCAGCAGCCGCGGUUAUACCUUGGAGGCGUUUGAAUGUGUUUAGUGUGUUAGUAGUUGUAUGUUUUAUGUUUUAUUGAUUUUUUUUGAUCCCGUUUGGUGGGUGAAAUUUUUAUGUUUGUUUAAUGUUUAGUUAUUUAUUUGGAGGCUAUGAAACCUUUGGUUUAGACUAGGAUUAGAUACCCUAUUAUUUAUUGGUGUUAAUGUUUUGUGCUUGAGUAGUAAUAGUUAUGUUCUUGAAACUUAAAGAAUUUGGCGGUAUCUCAUUCUGUCCAGAGGAAUCUGUCUCGUUAUCGAUAGUCCGCGUUGGAUCUUACUUAGAGUUUAGAGUGGUUUGUAUACCGCCGUUUAUUGAUUAUCUUUUUAGAGUUAAUUUUCUGGUUUCUUUAUUUUGAUUUAUUUCAGGUCAAGGUGCAGCUUUUUCUAAGUGUAAUGAUGGAUUACAGUGUUAUUUGUUGUUUGGAUUGUUUGGUUUUGAUACUGAUAUGAAAUUGGAUUUGGUUGUAAUGUUUUGUAGAUUGUUUGCAUGAUAAUUGGUUCUGAGAUAUGUACACAUCGCCCGUCGCUCUCGUUUAGUUAUUAAUGAGAUAAGUCGUAACAAAGUGGCUGUACCGGAAGGUGUGGCUGGGAUGAA
RNAcentral lists this non-coding RNA (819 nucleotides) under Microtermes sp. 1 TB-2017. The record is from RNAcentral. Lineage: Eukaryota; Metazoa; Arthropoda; Insecta; Blattodea; Termitidae.